GAUGAACGCUGGCGGCGUGCCUAAUACAUGCAAGUCGAGCGAACGGACGAGAAGCUUGCUUCUCUGAUGUUAGCGGCGGACGGGUGAGUAACACGUGGAUAACCUACCUAUAAGACUGGGAUAACUUCGGGAAACCGGAGCUAAUACCGGAUAAUAUUUUGAACCGCAUGGUUCAAAAGUGAAAGACGGUCUUGCUGUCACUUAUAGAUGGAUCCGCGCUGCAUUAGCUAGUUGGUAAGGUAACGGCUUAUCAAGGCAACGAUGCAUAGCCGACCUGAGAGGGGGAUCGGCCACACUGAGACUGAGACACGGGCCAGACUCCGACGGGAGGCAGCAGUAGCGAAGCGUCCGCAAUGGGCGAAAGCCUGACGGAGCAGCGCAGCGUGAGUGAUGAAGGUCUUCGGGUCGUAAAACGCUGUUAUUAGGGAAGAACAUAUGUGUAAGUAACUGUGCACAUCUUGACGGAACCUAAUCAGAAAGCCACGGCUAACUACGU
RNAcentral lists this ribosomal RNA (496 nucleotides) under uncultured bacterium. RNAcentral describes it as "partial 16S ribosomal RNA". It matches the Rfam family "Bacterial small subunit ribosomal RNA", at positions 28 to 506 of the family's 1533-position model. The record is from RNAcentral.